UGAAUCCGCGCGGGAGAGUCCCCGGGUCCCCUCUGGACCGCCCGGGGCGCCGAAGGAGCAAGUCCCUCCCUUGAAUCUCUCAGGCCCCGUUACCGCGCGGGCGAG
RNAcentral lists this non-coding RNA (105 nucleotides) under Streptomyces longwoodensis. RNAcentral describes it as "Glycine sequence". It matches the Rfam family "Glycine riboswitch aptamer". From Rfam's summary of the family: This family represents the bacterial glycine riboswitch. Glycine riboswitches usually consist of two metabolite-binding aptamers domains with similar structures in tandem. The aptamers cooperatively bind glycine to regulate the expression of downstream genes. The record is from Rfam by way of RNAcentral. Lineage: Bacteria; Bacillati; Actinomycetota; Actinomycetes; Kitasatosporales; Streptomycetaceae.